This 277-nucleotide non-coding RNA is filed under the name Homo sapiens (human). Lineage: Eukaryota; Metazoa; Chordata; Mammalia; Primates; Hominidae. The record is from RNAcentral.
CUAUGUUGCCCAGGCUGGAGUGCAGUGGCUAUUCACAGGCGCAAUCCCACUACUGAUCAGCACGGGAGUUUUGACCUGCUCCGUUUCCGACCUGGGCCGGUUCACCCCUCCUUAGGCAACCUGGUGGUCCCCCGCUCCCGGGAGGUCACCAUAUUGAUGCCGAACUUAGUGCGGACACCCGAUCGGCAUAGCGCACUACAGCCCAGAACUCCUGGGCUCAAGCGAUCCUCCCACCUCAGCCUCCCGAGUAGCUGGGACUACAGGCACGCGCCACCGC